GGAUUAGAUACCCUGGUAGUCCACGCCCUAAACGAUGUACACUAGUUGUUGCGAUGCUAGACAUUGCAGUAAUGCAGUUAACACAUUAAGUGUACCGCCUGGGGAGUACGGUCGCAAGAUUAAAACUCAAAGGAAUAGACGGGGACCCGCACAAGCGGUGGAGCAUGUGGUUUAAUUCGACGAUACGCGAAGAACCUUACCUGGACUUGACAUUUACAGAAUUUUUCAGAGAUGAGAGAGUGUCUGCUUGCAGAAACUGUAGGACAGGUGCUGCACGGCUGUCGUCAGCUCGUGCCG
This 297-nucleotide ribosomal RNA is filed under the name uncultured bacterium. RNAcentral's name for it is "partial 16S ribosomal RNA". It matches the Rfam family "Bacterial small subunit ribosomal RNA", at positions 775 to 1067 of the family's 1533-position model. The record is from RNAcentral.